RNAcentral lists this ribosomal RNA (496 nucleotides) under uncultured bacterium. Its description in RNAcentral is "partial 16S ribosomal RNA". It matches the Rfam family "Bacterial small subunit ribosomal RNA", at positions 28 to 506 of the family's 1533-position model. The record is from RNAcentral.
GAUGAACGCUGGCGGCGUGCCUAAUACAUGCAAGUCGAGCGAACAGACGAGGAGCUUGCUCCUCUGACGUUAGCGGCGGACGGGUGAGUAACACGUGGAUAGCCUACCUAUAAGACUGGGAUAACUUCGGGAAACCGGAGCUAAUACCGGAUAAUAUAUUGAACCGCAUGGUUCAAUAGUGAAAGACGGUUUUGCUGUCACUUAUAGAUGGAUCCGCGCCGCAUUAGCUAGUUGGUAAGGUAACGGCUUACCAAGGCAACGAUGCGUAGCCGACCUGAGAGGGUGAUCGGCCACACUGGAACUGAGACACGGUCCAGACUCCUACGGGAGGCGGCAGUAGGGAAUCUUCCGCAAUGGGCGAAAGCCUGACGGAGCAACGCCGCGUGAGUGAUGAAGGUCUUCGGAUCGUAAAACUCUGUUAUUAGGGAAGAACAAAUGUGUAAGUAACUAUGCACGUCUUGACGGUACCUAAGCAGAAAGCCACGGCUACCUACGU